UAUAUUUUGAAGGAUGUUUCUUCUAAUGCCCUGGAAGAAUGAGAAGUUCUUUGAUGUAACAUUGCAUCCCAGAGUCCUCCCUGGAAUUAAGCUCCCCUUGUGCUGCGGAAACCUUCACUUCUUGGCUUCACGUGAACAUAAAGACCACGAAACCGCUUAAACGCAAAACCCACAACACAUUUUAAAGCCGUUUUGCUUCCUUCAUUGCUCUGUUCUCUGGACUACGGUCUCUUCUGAUAGCCCUGGUAGUGGAAGCCUGCUGAUGUUACUGAGCCUUACUUUCUGUGGAAAGAUCUGCAACUUGCACCAGGAAAAUUGUCAGCUGUGGAAGCAACCCCUCAAACUGGCUGUCAGAGACUCCGUGCUGGRCAGCAGGAUGCAGAAGUAACGGAGAGCAGAAAAGCUGUGAUUUGCUUGCCUGGAGAGGGUGGGAAAGCAGGUAGAGUAUGUGAUGGGAAUAAAGGAGAAGAACUGGAAAAGAACAGAAAUAACCUUUUACUUGGCCAUUUGGAGGAGGAAAAAAAAAGGCUAAUUUGAGCAAGACUGGAUGAACAGCCUUGUUGAAGCAGUAAUUAUUUAGGAACUUUGGGUUACAUUGCAUACUGAUCACAAUUCUCCAAGCAAAUGGACAAUAAAGCAUUAUCUUAAAAAUAGACCUAACAUUUGAAUAUAAAUGACAACUACUAAACUCAAUAGCAUGUGACUUAUUGUAUCUCUGCUUAAAUUUUGGAAAGUAUUAGGACAUGGCAACCUUCCUGGAAGCUA
Molecule: long non-coding RNA, 765 nt
Organism: Nothoprocta perdicaria
Lineage: Eukaryota; Metazoa; Chordata; Aves; Tinamiformes; Tinamidae
Exons: 4
Source: RefSeq, a predicted model, not a curated record